GACGAACGCUGGCGGCGUGCCUAAUACAUGCAAGUAGACCGCAGUUGCUAACGGGUGAGUAACGCGUAGGUAACUUCCUUAUAGUGGGGGAUAACUAGUGGAAACGAUAGCUAAUACCUCAUACUGUGAGAUGGACCUGCGUUGGAUUAGCUAGUUGGUGAGGUAAUGGCUCACUAAGGCGACGAUACAUAGCCGAACUGAGAGGGUGCUCGGCCACACUGGGACUGAGACACGGCCCAGACUCCACCGGGAGCAGCCAGAAGGAAUCUUUGGCAAAUGACGGAAGUCUGACCGGGCAAACGCGCGGGAGUUAAACAGGUUUUCCGAUCGUAAAACUCUGUUGUUAGAGAAACGGUAUCUAACCAGAAAGGGACGGCUAACUACGUGCCAGCAGCCGCGGUAAUAC
Molecule: ribosomal RNA, 406 nt
Filed under: uncultured bacterium
Lineage: Bacteria
Description: partial 16S ribosomal RNA
Rfam family: Bacterial small subunit ribosomal RNA
Source: RNAcentral